CAAUAGCGUAUAUUAAAGUUGUUGCGGUUAAAAAGCUCGUAGUUGGAUUUCUGCCGAGGACGACCGGUCCGCCCUCUGGGUGUGUAUCUGGUUUGGCCUGGGCAUCUUCUUGGAGAACGUAGCUGCACUUGACUGUGUGGUGCGGUGUCCAGGACUUUUACUUUGAGGAAAUUAGAGUGUUUCAAGCAGGCACACGCCUUGAAUACAUUAGCAUGGAAUAAUAAGAUAGGACCUCGGUUCUAUUUUGUUGGUUUCUAGAGCUGAGGUAAUGAUUAAUGGGGAUAGUUGGGGGCAUUCGUAUUUAACUGUCAGAGGUGAAAUUCUUGGAUUUGUUAAAGACGGACUACUACGAAAGCAUUUGCCAAGGAUGUUUUCAUUG
RNAcentral lists this ribosomal RNA (379 nucleotides) under uncultured eukaryote. RNAcentral describes it as "partial 18S ribosomal RNA". It matches the Rfam family "Eukaryotic small subunit ribosomal RNA", at positions 592 to 975 of the family's 1831-position model. The record is from RNAcentral.